This 301-nucleotide ribosomal RNA is filed under the name uncultured bacterium. RNAcentral describes it as "partial 16S ribosomal RNA". It matches the Rfam family "Bacterial small subunit ribosomal RNA", at positions 509 to 807 of the family's 1533-position model. The record is from RNAcentral.
CAGUCGCCACGGGAAUACGAAGGGGUCUAGCGUUGCUCGGAAUGACUGGGCGUAAAGGGCGCGUAGGCGGAUUGUUUAGUUAGGCGUGAAAUUCCUGGGCUUAACCUGGGGACUGCGCUUAAUACAGGCAGUCUAGAGUGAGGAAGAGGGUUGUGGAAUUCCCAGUGUAGAGGUGAAAUUCGUAGAUAUUGGGAAGAACACCGGUGGCGAAGGCGGCAACCUGGUCCUUGACUGACGCUGAGGCGCGAAAGCGUGGGGAGCAAACAGGAUUAGAUACCCGUGUAGUCCCUGUCUCUUAUAC